Solanum lycopersicum (tomato) is the source of this 127-nucleotide non-coding RNA. The record is from Rfam. NCBI's taxonomy places the organism in Eukaryota, Viridiplantae, Streptophyta, Magnoliopsida, Solanales, Solanaceae.
GUGCUCGUAAAAAGUAGAGUUAGUUUGCAUCUCCCUUUACAAGGACUGAAUCAACCUUCGUGCUUUACCUGUUACCACAUAUCAAUUUAAGUCAUUCAAACUUGUUGGGACCAGAAAAAAAAUGUGG